This 198-nucleotide signal recognition particle RNA is filed under the name Chlorocebus sabaeus (green monkey). Its description in RNAcentral is "Metazoan signal recognition particle RNA". It matches the Rfam family "Metazoan signal recognition particle RNA". From Rfam's summary of the family: The signal recognition particle (SRP) is a universally conserved ribonucleoprotein. It is involved in the co-translational targeting of proteins to membranes. The eukaryotic SRP consists of a 300-nucleotide 7S RNA and six proteins: SRPs 72, 68, 54, 19, 14, and 9. The record is from Rfam by way of RNAcentral. Lineage: Eukaryota; Metazoa; Chordata; Mammalia; Primates; Cercopithecidae.
GCCGGGCGCAGUGGCUCAAGCCUGUAAUCCCAGCACUUUGGGAGGCCAAGACGGGCGGAUCACGAGGCCAGGAGAUCGAGACCAUCCUGGCUAACACGGUGAAACCCCGUCUCUACUAAAAAANUUUUAGUAGAGACGGGGUUUCACCGUGUUAGCCAGGAUGGUCUCGAUCUCCUGGCCUCGUGAUCCGCCCGUCUC